RNAcentral lists this ribosomal RNA (269 nucleotides) under Nematostella vectensis (starlet sea anemone). Its description in RNAcentral is "Eukaryotic small subunit ribosomal RNA". It matches the Rfam family "Eukaryotic small subunit ribosomal RNA", at positions 57 to 325 of the family's 1831-position model. The record is from Rfam by way of RNAcentral. Lineage: Eukaryota; Metazoa; Cnidaria; Anthozoa; Actiniaria; Edwardsiidae.
GUCUAAGUAUAAGCACUUGUACUGUGAAACUGCGAAUGGCUCAUUAAAUCAGUUAUCGUUUAUUUGAUCGUACCUUUACUACUUGGAUAACCGUGGUAAUUCUAGAGCUAAUACAUGCGAAAAGUCCCGACUUCUGGAAGGGAUGUAUUUAUUAGAUUCAAAACCAAUGCGGGUUCUGCCCGGUCAUUUGGUGAUUCAUAGUAACUGUUCGAAUCGCAGGGCCUCGCGCCGGCGAUGUUUCAUUCAUACCCUUUUAUUUCUCACCUGGG